RNAcentral lists this ribosomal RNA (537 nucleotides) under uncultured bacterium. RNAcentral's name for it is "bacterial SSU rRNA". It matches the Rfam family "Bacterial small subunit ribosomal RNA", at positions 8 to 523 of the family's 1533-position model. The record is from RNAcentral.
AGAGUUUGACCCUGGCUCAGAACGAACGCUGGCGGCGUGCUUAACACAUGCAAGUCGAACGUGAUUGGAAGCUUGCUUCCAUGAAAGUGGCGCACGGGUGAGUAACGCGUGGAUAACCUGCCCUGGUAUCCGGAAUAACAUCUCGAAAGGGGUGCUAAUACCGGAUAAGCCUACGGAGCCCUCGGUCUCUGCAGGAAAAGGUGGCCUCUAUUUAUAAGCUACCGUAUCAGGAUGGGUCCGCGUACCAUUAGCUAGUUGGUGGGGUAAUGGCCUACCAAGGCGACGAUGGUUAGCUGGUCUGAGAGGAUGAUCAGCCACACUGGAACUGAGACACGGUCCAGACUCCUACGGGAGGCAGCAGUGGGGAAUUUUGCGCAAUGGGGGAAACCCUGACGCAGCAACGCAGCGUGAGUGAUGAAGGCUUUCGGGUCGUAAAGCUCUGUCAGAGGGGAAGAAAUGGAAACGGUUAAUACCCGUUUUUCUUGACGGUACCCUCAAAGGAAGCACCGGCUAACUCCGUGCCAGCAGCCGCGGUAA